CGAAGCCCGACGAUCUAUCCAUGGCCAGGUUGAAACGCGGGUAAUACCGCGCGGAGGACCGAACCCACCUUAGUUGAAAAUAAGGGGGAUGAGCUGUGGAUCGGAGUGAAAGGCUAAUCAAGUCGGGGAAUAGCUGGUUCUCCUCGAAAUAUAUUGAGGUAUAGCCUCGGAUGAAUACCCGCGGGGGUAGAGCACUGAAUGGGCUAGGGGACCUACCAGUCUACCAAACCCAAUCAAACUCCGAAUACCGCGGAGUAGUGUCCGGGAGUCAGGCAGCGGGAGAUAAGUUCCGUUGCCGAGAGGGAAAGAGCCCAGACCGUCAGCUAAGGUCCCAAAGUCUGUGCUUAGUGUCAAAGGAUGUGGAGGCGCAUUGACAGCCAGGAGGUUGGCUUAGAAGCAGCCAUCCUUUAAAGAAAGCGUAAUAGCUCACUGGUCAAGCGAAUCCGCGCCGAAAAUAUAACGGGGCUCAAGCACAGCACCGAAGCUACGGACUCAGCGCAAGCUGAGUGGUAGAGGAGUACUCUCAGG
This 528-nucleotide ribosomal RNA is filed under the name uncultured bacterium. RNAcentral's name for it is "bacterial LSU rRNA". It matches the Rfam family "Bacterial large subunit ribosomal RNA", at positions 716 to 1246 of the family's 2925-position model. The record is from RNAcentral.